Molecule: ribosomal RNA, 817 nt
Filed under: uncultured bacterium
Lineage: Bacteria
Description: bacterial SSU rRNA
Rfam family: Bacterial small subunit ribosomal RNA
Source: RNAcentral
AGAGUUUGAUCAUGGCUCAGGAUGAACGCUGGCGGCGUGCCUAAUACAUGAAGUCGAGCGAGAAUCAGUGAUGUAGAGAUUCGUCAAAGCGGAUCUGAGGAAAGCGGCGGCGGGUGAGUAACGCGUAGGCAACCUGCCCUUAGCAGAGGGAUAGCCAUUGGAAACGAUGAUAAAACCUCAUAAUGCUGUUUUAACACAUGUUGAGACAGCCAAAGAUUUAUCGGCUAAGGUGGGCCUGCGUCUGAUUAACUAGUUGGUGAGGUAACGGCUCACCAAGGUGACGAUCAGUACCGACCUGAGAGGGUGAUCGGCCACAUUGGAACUGAGACACGGUCCAAACUUCUACGGAAGCAGCAGUAAGGAAUCUUGCACAAUGGGGGAAACCCUGAUGCAGCAACGCCGCGUGAACGUGAAGGCCUUAGGGUUGUAAAGUUCUGAUCUGUGGGAAGAAGAAGUGACGGUACCACAGGGAAAGUCCCGGCUAAAUACGUGCCAGCAGCCGCGGUAAUACGUAUGGGGCAAGCGUUAUCGGAAUUAUUGGGCGUAAAGAGUGCGUAGGUGGUUACCUAAGCGCAAGGUUUAAUCUUGAGCUCAACCUCAUUCUGCCUUGCGAACUGGGCUACUUGAGUGCAGGAGGGGAAAGCGGAAUUCCAGUGUAGCGGUGAAAUGCGUAGAUAUUGGGAAGAACACCGGUGGCGAAGGCGGCUUUCGGACUGUAACUGACACUGAGCACGAAAGCGUGGGGAGCAAACAGGAUUAGAUACCCUGGUGUCCACGCCGUAAACGAUGAGCACUAGUUGUUGGGUACGAAUGUAUU